This 546-nucleotide small RNA is filed under the name Pan troglodytes (chimpanzee). RNAcentral's name for it is "processed transcript". The record is from RNAcentral. Lineage: Eukaryota; Metazoa; Chordata; Mammalia; Primates; Hominidae.
ACUGAUAUUAGAAUAGCUAUAUACAGGACACGGUAGUGGCACUGAAGACAGGAAGAUUAUUUUUAACCUAUGCAAAGGGAGGAAAAGAAUGCUAAAGCUGAUCUGGAGUUUGAAAGGCAGAGGAACGGACUAGAUACUUCUCAGUCUUCUACCUGUCCAUCAAUGCAGGGAGCUUGAUUUCUACAUUUAUCACACCCAUGCUGAGAGGAGAUGUGCAAUGUUUUGGAGAAGACUGCUAUGCAUUGGCUUUUGGAGUUCCAGGACUGCUCAUGGUAAUUGCACUUGUUGUGUUUGCAAUGGGAAGCAAAAUAUACAAUAAACCACCCCCUGAAGGAAACAUAGUGGCUCAAGUUUUCAAAUGUAUCUGGUUUGCUAUGUCCAAUCGUUUCAAGAACCGUUCUGGAGACAUUCCAAAGCGACAGCACUGGCUAGACUGGGCAGCUGAGAAAUAUCCAAAGCAGCUCAUUAUGGAUGUAAAGGCACUGACCAGGGUACUAUUCCUUUAUAUCCCAUUGCCCAUGUUCUGGGCUCUUUUGGAUCAGCAGG